ACCACCACCACCACCACCACCACCACCGUAACCAUCAUCACCAGUGUAGGAGACCUGCACCAAUCAGCUGUGUACAACUCCUGAAUCAGGACUGAAACUUUAACACAGAAUGUGAAUCCACAUCUGAAUGGCAGACUGUCAUCAUAUGACAUUAAACUCACAGAGAUAAUCCGAGAUGUUUACACAGAUAAACCACACAAACUGUGUCUCACACACACCGUGUCACACACACUGUGUCGACAAGUCAAACUCUCACACAACAGAAUCAACUACUUGAAUCAAAAACAAAUGAAUAAUUCAAAACCAAAAGACAGACGAAAAGAUAAAACCAAAAAACAGACCACUUUCUUUAAUCACAAAAAUGAAAAGCCCCACACUAAUGAAAAUCAUAACCAAAUACAGAUUACUGACCACUGAAAAAGAUUGUUUAUUGAUCAUAUUGACAAAAUCCAAAAACAGUGGAUGGUUCAAACGAGGACUAACCACAGACCGGACCUGGUUUUGUCCCCAGAAAGUGAUCAUGAUCAGCACCAGUGGAUGUUUGUGAAAGAUCCCAUGACACACCUCAACUUCACCCUCUGUACCUUAUCCAAUGUAUCAGGCAGGGGAGAUGUUAAGGGGGAGAGACAGCAAAAGGUGGCAGGUGGUUCACUGCCAAUUGGAUGGCCUCGUUUAUUGUUGCUGGUUGGUGAUGUGUAACCCAGUCGGAUGUCCCUUCUGGAAGCUGUUUCAUGAACUGCUCUAUUACCACAAGCUCUACAAUCCUUUGAGGGUCACAAUGCUUAGCGAGCACUUUUGACAACUGUCUUGGAGCUGCUGAGCAAAUGCAAAAAGAUUGUCGAACUCACUGAGGGUCAAGGAGUGAAAAAUCUGGCGAUGUUGCUCCGACCCCUGCAAGACGGCUUUUUUUUGGCGAUUUGAUUCCAGUUGCUGCAUUAAGCUCUGCAGCAUCUGUUGGAGAUUUGCCAGUGCUUGUAUCAGGGCCUCCUGACUCUCCAUCUCAGUGAGGUGUGAAUGCUCCAUUGUUGUGUCUUGUUCCUCAAUCUCAGACUUUCUUACCACUGUAGCACUCUGUGGGUAAAGAGAUAGAGAGAAAGGUGCAGAGUUUUUAAAUUAAACUUUCUGAGCUUUUAACCCAGUUUGUGCAAACAUAAAAACAUAAAUGCCAACUUAAAUUAGUAUUUCAGUAGUAACUACAACGUCACUAAACUGGUGGUCCAUUUACCUAUUGUUUUG
Long non-coding RNA from Ictalurus punctatus (channel catfish), 1236 nucleotides. The record is from Ensembl. Lineage: Eukaryota; Metazoa; Chordata; Actinopteri; Siluriformes; Ictaluridae.